RNA transcript from Octodon degus (degu), 1039 nucleotides. It is a transcript of the gene named aminoacyl tRNA synthase complex-interacting multifunctional protein 1 pseudogene, with no coding region annotated. Lineage: Eukaryota; Metazoa; Chordata; Mammalia; Rodentia; Octodontidae. The transcript has a single exon. The record is from RefSeq and is a predicted model, not a curated record.
CGGCUGCUUCAUGAGUUUCUGUCGUUUUUUGGCAAAAAUGACAACCAAUGAGGCUGUUCUGAAGAGACUGGAGCAGAAGGGGGCAGAGGCGGAUCAAAUUAUUGAAUAUCUUAAACAGCAAGUUGCUCUUCUCAAGGAGAAAGCAAUUUUGCAGGCAACACUGAGAGAAGAGAAAAAACUUCGAGUUGAAAAUGCUAAACUGAAGAAAGAAAUAGAAGAACUGAAACAGGAGCUGAUUCAGGCUGAAAUUCAGAAUGGAGUGAAGCAAAUACCAUGCCCAUCUUAUACUACACUGCAAGCCAAUUCUGUGACUGCUGAAAAUGCAGCACAGUCAACACCAGUAACUGUAUCGUCUGGUGCCAAAGAACACGUAAAAAAGCGGGGAGAAGAAAAGGCGAAAGAAAGAACUGAAAAGAAAGGAGAAAAGAAGGAGAAAAAGCCAUCUGCAGCAGGAAGUGCUGACUCUAAGCCAGUGGAUGCUUCCCGUCUGGAUCUUCGAAUUGGCCGAAUCAUUAAUGCCAAAAAACACCCUGAUGCAGAUUCUUUGUAUGUAGAAGAAAUAGAUGUUGGAGAAGCAGCCCCAAGAACAGUUGUCAGCGGCCUAGUGAAUCAUGUUCCCCUUGAACAGAUGCAAAAUCGGAUGGUGAUUCUGCUUUGCAAUCUGAAGCCUGCAAAGAUGAGGGGGGUCCUGUCUCAGGCGAUGGUGAUGUGCGCCAGUUCACCAGAGAAGGUUGAAAUCCUGGCUCCUCCUGAUGGGUCCAUUCCUGGAGACAGAGUCACUUUUGAUGCUUUCCCUGGGGAACCUGACAAGGAGCUAAAUCCUAAAAAGAAGAUUUGGGAGCAGAUCCAGCCUGACCUGUACACCAGAGAGGACUGUGUGGCCACAUACAAGGGUGUUCCCUUUGAGGUGAAAGGGAAGGGAGUGUGCAGGGCUCAGACCAUGGCCAAGAGUGGGAUCAAAUAAGAUCAGAGGCGGUGUUGCCGGAGCUCACUGGCAGAAACACUAAUAACAAUAAAAAGAAUAUGUUCGUUACUUCUA